AAAUAAGAAGCAAAAAUUGCAUUUAGUUUCGACCUAAAAAUUUGAUAGAUAUUUAUCCUUAUUUA
This 65-nucleotide transfer RNA is filed under the name Ericmodes sylvaticus. RNAcentral describes it as "tRNA-Arg". The record is from RNAcentral. Lineage: Eukaryota; Metazoa; Arthropoda; Insecta; Coleoptera; Protocucujidae.